This 21565-nucleotide long non-coding RNA is filed under the name Ananas comosus (pineapple). RNAcentral describes it as "long non-coding RNA (ACOM_LNC005163)". Lineage: Eukaryota; Viridiplantae; Streptophyta; Magnoliopsida; Poales; Bromeliaceae. The record is from RNAcentral.
AAAUGACUCCGACUCGUCCCGACACUCUACAGAUGUGUCGACUAGUCGCUAAUAUUAUAGUCAUUCCAUCAACUAACCCUAGGGACACUACAGUUAAAAUAAAAUUACACUGUUUAAUUUUUUUUUUUUUGCAUUUUUAAAUAAAAUUGCACCACACUACAACAAAAACGGUCUAUAGCGACACUUUUAAAUAUAGGUACAUGUCAAAAAAGUGCUGCUAGGUAAAAUUACCGACACUUUUAAAAAGUGUUACUAUAUGUGGGGUCGCUAGGUAUAUAGUGACAGUUAAAGAGUGUCGCUAUAACCUAAAAGAGUGCUACUAAUUUACUAAUACUUAUUUAAGCAUUUAGCAACCGCCGAAACUCUAUCUCGUUGGCUGCGGUGGCGGAGGAGGACGACAGAAAAGGCUCUUCGUCUAGAAUUUCAGUAGAUUGAGUGAAGAGAGAAGAAAAGAUGGCAAUUGAUUUUUCUUUUUUUUUUCUUUUCUGUUUGUAAUCGGGCCAAAUGGACUGGGUGUGGUGGGUUGAGUAGAGUAAUCUUUUAUUUUUGGUUGGAUUGGGCUUUAUAUUUAGGCAUUAGCAAAUAUUUUUUUAAGUUUUAGUAUAAAUGGGACACUUACUCAAAAGUGUCCCAAACAUGUGUCCCUAUAACCUAAUUGUGUUGUAGUGCCAUUUUAAAUGAAAUUGCACUAUUUUAUACUAUUUUAAAUGAAAUUGCACUAUUUUAAAUAAAAUUGCACUACUUUUAUACUAUCUUAAAUGAAAUUGCACUAUUUAAAUGAAAUUGUACUAAUUUUUGCACUAUCCGCUGUGACCACGCCGCCACCCGCUCCGUCGACUCCUCCGUCGGGCGGCGCGCUGCUUGAGUUUCUCCGCGCAGCUUCUCUGGAUGACGAGCAUGAGCUUCGCGGCGAGGCCGGCCUCGACGGGGGUAGGGACGCACUUCUCGGGGGCGAGCUUGCACACGGCCCAAAGCACGUUGAACGCGACGUGGGUGCAAGGCUCGGAGACCCUCAUAAGCGCGUGCACGGCGCAGGGGAUGGUGCGGGGACACUCCUUCAGCGUGCCCCACCCCUCAAGCACGGUCCCGAGUUGGUCGACGAUCCCCAACGCAGGCUCCAACAGCUCGCCGACACCGCCAGGGCUGCCAGCGACAUUCGCAGCGUUCGAGUUGGAGACUUUAAGGAUGGUGGGCACGGCGCCGACGGUGACUAGCAUGGAUAGCAUGCGUGCGUUGUUAUUGUUGUGUUGGUCGGCGGCGGCGGCGAAGGAGGAGCAGAGGGAUUUGAUGGGGGCGGUGGUGGACCUGGUGGAGGAGGAUGAGGAUGAGGAUGAGGAUGAGAGGAAAGAGGAGGAGGAAGAAGAAGAAGGAAAAGAAAAAUUAUGUAAAUUUUAUCUAAAUAGUGCAAUGUUGUCCUAAAGAGUAUAAAUCCGAUCCCAAAGAGUGUAAUUUCUGUCUCAAAAUAGUGCAAUUUUAUUUAAAAUAGCGCAAAAAAAUUUCAAACGGUUUUCAUCGAUAAUUCCUGGUCUUUAUUUUUUUCUUCUUUCUUCUUCUAUAAUUUUUUUUGGUCACGCCUGUCUACCAACGACUAUGGUGCCAGCGACAACGCCACUAUAGACCCCCCGCCCUGAGGCUGUGGCACCGCAGCGACCUUCACGGCAUCGGCGUCGAGGCGACGUCGUCGGAGGAGGCGGCGGAGGAGGAAUGAGAGGGAGAGGGCGAGAAGGGCGGGGAAGAGCGAGAGAGGGCAAAAGAGGCGUCGUCGUCGGAGACGGUGGAGAAGGGUCGGAGAGGGAAAAAAAAAAGAAUCGUGGCGCAGCCUCAGCGGGGUCAGAGGCGAGGAAGGUUCGGGAGUGUGCCGGCGAGGUUGAGCGUAUGAGGGUGAGAGGCGAGGCGGGUCGUUUUCGCCUCCGUCUUUGCCUCUGCCACUUUCUUCGUAGAGAGAGAAAAAAAUGAACGAGAGAAAAAAAAAGAGGAGAGAGAAAAAGUAAUUAGGGUAUUUUGGUCAGUUUGCUGAAAAUUCGAACUGAGUUUGCAAAAUCAAAAAAGACGGACCAGUUUUGCAAAAGCUCAAAACUUAUGAAUUUUUUAUGCAAAUUGGCCAUUAAUAAUUAUAAAUAAUAAAUAAAUAAAUAAUUUUAUUAUUUAAGAAAUAAACAAUUAGGUAAAUAUAUUAAUUAGAUUAACUAAUGCUUUAAUAUCAUAAUUAAAAAUAAAUUUAGACUUUAAUUAACUUUGUUUCCAUUUGGAAACAAGCUUGUUCUAGAAAAAAGUGUGGAACAACAGUUUCAGCCUUAUACCAGUUUAUUCUAGAAACUCGAGAACUACUGUUCUCAAGUACCAAACGUAUCGUUUGGGAACAAAGGGGGAACAAGGGCUUAUUCCCCCUUUGUUCCUGAACCAAACACUGCCUAAAUCUUCUCCUUGUAGCUUGACCUGCCUAGCCGGGCACCGGCCGAGCUGAUCCGUUUGGCAUCACCCUCUGUGGAAUUGUUGUACAUUAAAUCCUCUCCCUGUAGAUUGACCUGCCUAGCCAGGCACCGGCCAAGUUGAUCCGUUUGGUUGCUCCCCUCGUUUUGAUCCCCUUCUUCGAAGGAAAUACCACGAUCAUUACCUCCGAAGGAGCCGUUCUCUCUAUCUGACCAGCUACGAGGAUGAUAAUGUCUUCUACAGUUAUCGUUAGGAUUUUAGGGAUAUCACUGAAAUCGUCAAUGGCUAUCUGGCAAUGGAAUCCAAUGAGGGUCCAUCAUGUUCAAGAUGUCUUCAUCACCCCAAAGAUAUCGGUCGAAGCCAUUGAUAAUGGAGCUAGGCUACCUAGGACCAACAUUUGAAGGGCAAGUUGACAGGUUUCAUCCAGGCUUUGUAUGUAAUCUAUGAGCAGCUAACGUUGUUGUAGGGGUUCCAGUUGUAACACCUUAGUUGGCAAUGCUGAAGUCUGACAACCUCCUUUCUAAUGAGCUCCUCCGAGUGAACCUAUUAAGGUAAGAAAUCACAAAAUCCUUCUCUCGAUAAUGGGCUACAUGGAAGUCACCGGAGAGCCCGCCGAAUCUGAAAGCGAAAUCAUUCGCAAUCAUUUCUUAGGGGCAGUGACCAAGAUUAGCUGGCCCAAUAAUGUUAGCUAACAUGGCGUUUUGACACAAUUACUAGCAGAAACGAAACCCUUUCGUCAGCAAAACAAAAACCUUCAUCGAGGGAGGACGGAACCACAAUGCCCUUUGCAUCUUCUCCUUAACUGAAUCUCUUCGUUUGCGACGAAAACAUGCAGGGUGGCCCAACCUAAAACACAAUGUGUAUCUCAGAGAAUCUCCGCACUCCCUAAUUCUGUUAUCCUUAGCAAGACAUCUAAAGCAUCUGCUCAUUGAUGUUGAACUUCUCAGGGGAGCCUUUCUUCUUGGCUGCGAAGAGAUGUUCUCAUCACACAUGUUAUUUUACUCAAUUUUCAAUACUUUUUGACAUCUUACAAGUAGCCUUUUCUGUAGUAUUUUCAUGUCGAAUUUUCGUGUGUUCUCUUCCUUGGUGCUUUCUGUGUACCUAUAAGCAAGAUAGCCAAUAAAAUAACAACAGAUUUCUAUUAUAUGAUAGCAUAUAAUCUAGCCAUUUUCACUUCACCACUAAUACAUCAAGAUGGUGCAUUAAUAUGAUCACAAGAUCUAAUAAUUAUCAAUAUUUUUCUCUUAAAAGGCAUAAUUUAUAAAGAUAAACUCUCAUUAUUAGAUUUUUCAAAUAUCAACUUUGUCAAACCAAUGCUAUAUAGGCUGGAAAAAUUUCGAUACAUGCUAUAUUUAUUUUUGGGUUAAUUUCAUACAGAUCCCUACAAACAUAGUGAAUUGUAAAAAUAUUCAUAUAAAGUUCAACUUUUAUAUGUUCUUUUUGUAAAAGUUCUAAUAUUUUCAAAUAUGUUCCCGUCGUUGGAAUCUGUUAAAAAACUUUAGUUAUAUAAUAAUAGAUUAAGUACUUAAUCCUGGUUAGUUUAUGAAAUACUUGAUAUUUUUACCCUCUUAUAUUAUACUGUUGUGGUUUUUAGAGGGACAUAUUUGUGUUAGCAAAAUUGACAUUUCACUUAAAAUAUAAACAAUUCUAUAACGAUAACAAACUAGAGGGAUAUAUUUGAAAAUAUUAGAACUUUUGUAGAGACAUGAAAGUUGAACUUUGUAGGGAUAUAUGUAUAACUCAGUAUAUUUGCAGGGAUCUAUAUGCAUUUUAACCAUUUAUUUUUUUCUACUGCUGGUCACAUUAUGUUGGUAUAAAAGUGUCAUGUUUGGCUUUUUUUUUUCUUUUUUUAUUUUAUUUUAUAAAGUAAACAAGGUUACAGGGAGCAUAGAAAUCCUCUGAAAUGAAAUAAAAUUGAAAGAAAAAUUAUGAUUACAAAGAUACAAUUAGAUCUAGAUCUGAACAGUUCCUCGAUCCCUCCCAACUAAAAUAGACACUUCAGAAACCAUCCUAACUCCUACAUAAAAUCAAAAUAAAUCAAGAGCAACCCCACUUGAUGAAAAACAUUCAAAAAUAGAUUUAUAACCACAAUGGUUUUUAAAAAAAAUAAUACAGCCCUAAUUAAAUAACUUGAUAAAUAAUUGGUCCCUAAUGUUGGACUCUUUCCUUUACCAUCAUGUUUUCAUUUGUGUAUUUUGAGGAAGAGCCGUUAAUGUUGCCUGUACACUUCUAAACUAGAUAUAAAAGCUGCAUUUCAUUCAUCCUAGGACUAUUAUUUUCCUACUAAUUUUAUCAACCUUUUGCUUUUAAAUAUUAAAAAAUCAAAAUAGUUUUAUAAACUCUUGGAUGGAGAGGUAUAAGAUUUAUACCUAUAUAUAAGAUUUGCAGGCAACAUUUUACAGUUGUAUAUAGGUGUGCAGGUAACAUGCUAGAAAGAUAGCACUCUUUUUUUGGCCAUUCCUACCGCUAGUGGCAAACAAUUUGUUACUCAAGGGCGGAAAUUUGAAUCCUAGUUGUAACGACCUGACCCGCUAGUAGCAAUAACUCGUUGGGCCCAAACCACUGGUCCAAAAUGCUUAAACCUAGGAUUUCUUUUACUAGCGUGUAGGCCUCAUUUAUUAUAAUCAGGGCGUUACAAACUCUUCCUAUUUAGACCCUUACGUUCUCGUCGGGUCCAAAGAAGAUUACAGAUACAGACUAGAAUUACCAAGCGAUAUGAGAUUCUAGAGGUAGCUCCUACGAGUUCAAGAGGUGGCUCCCACCAAAUCCGUUGGUAUAGCAUUUUGUUCCGUAUAACACUUAACUCUCACAUGUCUGGCUAGUUUUUGGCUCUGAUAUCAAUUGUAACGACCUGACCCGCUAGCAAUAAUAACUCAUUGGAUUCAAACCACCGGCCCAAAAUUUUCAAGCCCAAUUUUUUUUUACUAGCGUGUAGGCCUCAUAUAUUCUAAUCAGAAUUAUUUUUCCUUACGAUGUGAAACUAUUGGGGCGUUACACUAGUUGCUUUACAUUUCCAGAUAAGUUUAUUUUUGAAAACAUGAACAAAGUAAAUAGUAUGCUAUAUACCAUUCUCUUUCUCUCUCAAAAAAAAAGUAUGUGUACACCCAAAAUAUAGAUAUAAAUCUUACAUCCUACUAAUGCAAGAGCUAAUACUUUUACGCUAGUCUUAUCAAUUUAUUUUAUAAUAUUAAAAAUCUAAAAAGGUUAUCUAAACAUUUGGAUAGGUGGGUGUAAGAUUUAUAUCUUAUUUUUGAAUGUACAAGUAGAAUUUCUUUUAUAUAUAUAUUUUUUUCAAAGCUUUUCUUUGAGUGCUUCUCCAACAAAUUAAGAUUGCUUUUCAAUAAGAAUAUGAAAGAGUGAUUUUAUGACAUCGACUUUAAGUACUCUUAACAAAAUAAUCCACAAUAAGAAUGUGAUUUUGCACUAGCUCGAUCAGCGAAAGAUUUCCUAGCAUUUUCCUUCUUUUGUUACUUUUUCGUUUAACGUGUCUACUUGCAUUCACACAAGGCCCUAAAUAUUCAAGCAUACAUAGGAUUAGUUGGCUUCAUGUGUACGUAUCUCAAAUCAAUCAAUACAAGGAUUUUUUUUUUUUUUCUUUCUGAGAGAAUGAUAGCAUAUUAUUAGAUUCGUUUACUUUAUUAAUACAAAUACAUAAAACGAUGUUUGUUGUAAUCUCUUCUUACUUUAGGAGAAUUAUGGGCCUCACGUGUGGAGAAACUAUUGCCUCCGGAUAGUCCACCUAUAAAGCACAUUCACUGUAGCUAAUUUUUUAUGAUUAAUAUUUUAAAAUUAAUCUAAUUUCGUACGUGGGAUCUGUAUAUAUACAUUAACUAUUCAAGCGUAGGAUUGGUUAGCUUCUUAUGAUCUAAAGUAUUUAUAUAUAUAUAUAUAUAUAUAUAGAGUUGAGCUAGAAUACUAUCGGUAGUAAAUGAGCCGUUUUACUACCGAUUUGUUUUCGAUGAUAGAGUUUCCAAAUUGACGAUCAGCUCCGUUAAAUAUGAUCUAAACCAUUUAAACUACCUAGAAAUCAAAUUUCACGCACUUUCGAUAUUGUUCUUUUAUCCAUCAAGUGAACAGAAAAAUGAAUGGCUGAAAAUGAAUACUCUUUAAAAAAUGAUGAUAGGAGUCUUGUAAUCAAGAACAAGAGUAUAGAUCUUNGAAAAUUGAUUUCUAAACACUUCAAGCGGUAUAGAUCAUGUUCAACGGAGCCGAUCGUCAAUUUGGAAGUUCUAUCAUCGAAAACAAAUCGGUAGUAAAACGGCUCGUUUACUACCGAUAGUAUUCUAGCUCAACUCUAUAUAUAUAUAUAUAUAUACACACACAAAAAAAAAGAAAGAAGGGUAGGUUAGAUUUGGUCCAAUUGUUCAAGGCCUAUGUGUAGGCAAAGUCAUAAGGCUAUAUAGAGAAUAAUAGUAGGUAAAGCCACAAGGGCCAAGAAAGGGUCACAUUCAUUCUUAAUUGGAAAUGCGUGUGGAGAGAAAAAUGGUUGGGUAUUGACAAAAACUGGGCUCAUAUGUUCUAAAUGUAGGGCCAUUCAGGAAAAGGUUAGAUCCUAUUGGUAGAUUUUUUUUUUUUCUUUCUAUCUUUUUAAUUGUAUGCUGAGGCUUAAAGGGCAGUAGUCAAUUGUACCUAACCAAACUUGGAGGCUUGUGAAGGGUGUUUCCACUGGAUGCUUUCUUUGAUUGCAAUGUGUACUUAUAGAAGAAAAUAUACAGUGUUUAAGGAAGAGAAAAGGAUGAGUACACCAUUUCAGAGAGAACAUUGAUCCAUAUUAUAAGAAUAUUUUCUAUGUGACCAAUUCCCUCCCUAGCUAGUAUGAUAUAUGAGCUCACCCUUUCAGUUUGUGGAGAUAAUUGUUAUAAAUUUUUAUAAGUGAUACCUAAUGAGUUGAAUCUUCAUCUAUGACCCGUUUUAUCGGUGCCGCCUAUUUAUUUUCUUCUUGGUGCUAAUUAUCCAAUUACAAUGUGUUCUUAGGAGAAAAUGUGAAAUAUUUAGCUUUUAACAAGUGGAAAGAAAAGGCACCAGUUCAAAGAGAACAUGAGCAAUGUGAUAUUAAGAUGACUAAAUUACAGAAAACCUCUUCUGGCAAUAUUCGCUUUUUUACUUUUUCUCCCUAUCAUUCAAAAAAUCUACACUUUACCUCCUUAUAAAAUAAAAAAUGUUCACUUUGGCCCCCGCUGUCAAUGUUCCGUUAGGGUUUCGUUUAUAUCCUAUUUUUUAUAUCCAAAAUACCCCUGAAACUCUCAUCCUUCCUAACCGACCUCGGCCGCGCCGCCUCGCCCUCGCCCACUUCUCUGUUCAUGCCCACACAUACACCCUCGCCGCCUCCGCCACCUCACCCUCGCCCUCGCCCACCACUCCGUCCACGCCCACCCCGAAGAAGACGAGGGCAAUUUUGUCAUUUUAGCAGUGUACCCCUUGUAAAUAUUUCAUUUUAUAAGGAAACAAAAUGUAUGUUUUUGAAGAAUAGGGAAGGAAAGUAAAAAAACAAGUAUUGAUAGAGAGAUUUUCUGUAAUUUAGCCUAUUAAGAAAUGUUAUAUAUAUCAACUUUACAGUGACACAAUAUUAGAGCUGGUCCUUUGCCCUCUCAGCUCUUUGCGCUUAUUUAGAUGCAUGAAUAUCUUAUUCAACAUAUUUCUUUUAUUUAUAUAAAAAAAGUUUGUAGUGAUAUACAUCUAGGAGUAUGAUCAGCAUGUGUAGAAAGCUAUAUAUACCAUAUGGAACCUUUUAAGUCAGUUUUUUAGAAUACUAUAAAUGAUCUCAUGAGUGUAACGAUACCACCAAAUUUUAGAUAUAGAGUCCUUCCGAAAAGUCAAAAACAAACUUAUAACUCACGAUCAGUUUCUAAUGCAUAAGAUAUUAUAAGAAAACUUGUACUGAUAUUCAAUAGUGUUAUAACAUAUUAGACUCGAUAAGCAACUUUGUAGAUUGGAACCUUCUUGUUGUUGAAAUUGUUAAAGAUAAUGCUAAUGAGAUUAUGAUUAGAUUAUUUGAUCUUAUCCAUUAUUCGGUUAUGGUUAAGAUAUAUUCGGUUAUUAUUAAGAUGAAAUCGAAUCAGAGUAGGAUUCUAUGUAAUUAGCUAUAAAUAGAUAGGCCGGAAUUAUUUGGUUAAUGAAGCCGGGAGUCAUCAUAAUUAUUUAGUGCUUGCCGAAGGUUGCAUACGGUGAUAAAUUAUUUUCUUCAAUAAAGUUAUUUUUACUUUUGCUUCCAUGACAACGUACCAAAUUCUUUGAUUCGUCUUCUUCCUCUCUUGUCUUUUCUAUUUUACUUUUUGUGGGGAUCUAUAUAUACCAUAACAUGUAUAUAGAACGUAUUUAUUGGAGGCCCACCACCGUAACAAGUAGUAUCAGACCUUGGAUUUCGAGAGGAGAAGGUGUCGAUGGCGUUUAACAGCGCUAACAGAGUUGCACAAGGAUUUUCGAUAUUCAAGGGGGACAAUUAUGAUUUUUGGUGGGUGAAGAUGUGAACAUUGCUGUGAUCCUAAGAUUUUGGGAUUUUGUCGAAAAAGGAUGCAAGGAAACAACCGGAGAGAAUCUAAAAAAGGAUGCAAAGGCGCUUUUCUUUAUUCAGCAAUCAGUUGACGAUUCGAUAUUUUUCCACAUUGCCGGUGCUACUCGAUCGAAGGAAGCAUGGGAUAUAUUACAAAAGGAAUACCAAGAUAACGAAAAGAUACUCAGAGUUAAGAUUCAAACUUUAAAAGAAGAUUUGAAGCUUCUUUUAUGCAAGAAAAUAAAAAUAUUCAUACUUUUUAUUUUAGAGUUAUGAAAUUAGUUAUCUUGAUGCGUACCUAUGGUGAACAGAUUAUGUAAAGACCCAGUCCACCAGCAAUAAUAACUCGUUGGACCCAACCACCGGCCCAAAAUGCUUAAGCCCAAUUAUUAUUACUAGUGUCUAAGUCUCUUAUAUAUUCAAUCGCAUCCUCAUUCCUAUCCGAUGUGGGAUUAUUGGGGUGUGACAGACUCCCUCUGUUAAGGCCCUGACGUCCUCGUCAAUCCAAUCACACACACAACCCAAGAUCACCAGGCGAAUAAUCCCACAUCGGAUAGAAAUGGAAAUAUGAUUGGGUAUAUAAGAGACUUAUACAUUAGUAAUAAUAACUGGGCUGAAGCAUUUUGGGUUGGUGUUUGGGCCCAACGAGUUAUUAUUGCUAGUGGGCUAGGUCGUUACAGAUUACUGAUCAAACAGUAGUCGAAAAAAUUUUAAAAAGUCUAACGAAAAAAUGUGGUGAUGUUGUUUCUGUCAUAGAAGAGGCAAAAGAUUUAUCUAAACUAUCUAUCUUGUAUCGAACUUUUUGGUUCUUUUUUAGCACAUGAGGAACGAAAAGAUAGAACUGAAAAUUUUUCUGAGCAUGGUUUUCAAAGUGAAUCGAAAAGCGAUGAAAAAGAUGGUGCAGAUUCUUUUAAUUGUCAAGGUUCAACAUAUAGUGGACAUGAUAGAGGCCGUGGUCGUGGUGAGGGCAGAGGCCGCGGAGGUAGAUCGGGUGAUUUCAACAACAGAAACGAUGAAAGAUCAGGUAAUUAAAAUCAGAGAACCUACGGAGGUAACGAUCAAUCCCGCAAUCGUAAAAAUAUUCAAUGUUAUUAUUGUAAAAAAUUUGGCCAUAUCAAGCGUUUUUGUCGAUUGAAACAACAGAAUGCAAAUUUUAUUUAUGAAAAGAAUGAAAACGAUAAUAUACUUUUUGCAUGUCGUUCAUUAGAAAAAACUGUUAACAAUAUUUGAUAUGUCGAUAGUGGUUGUAGCAGUCACAUAAGAGGAAAAGAAGAAAACUUUAUUAAUUUGGACAAAUCAGUUAAUGGCCGCAUGACAAUGGGUGACGGCUAUGUCCAUGACGUGUACGGAAGAGGUACAAUUACGGUAAAUAUUAAUGCAAAAAAUAAAUAAUGUCUUAUAUGUUCCAGGAUUGAAUUCCAAUUUUUUUAGUGUGGGUCAAUUUUUGAAAGAAGAUCAUUCGCUUAUUUUUGAAGAUUCUAAGCGCACAAUUUAUGGAGAUAAGAUAAAAAGAAUUUACUUUUUGUAGUUCUGAUGACAGAAAAUAAAGUUUUUCCUAUUCAUGUUGCAAUGAAAGUAGUGCUAGAUGAUGAUUGGUUAUGGCACUAUCGAUAUGGUCACUUGAGUUUUAAGGGACUUGAUCUAUUACAUAAAAAGAAUAUGGUUGAUGAUUUACCUUUGGUGCAUAAUAAUGAUUCUGAAUGUGAAAGAUGUGUACUAGGAAAGCAUCACAGGGACUCUUUUCCCCGAAAGAGCAAUUUGAGAGCCAAAAAACUAUAAGAAUUGAUACACGCAGAUGUUUGUGGACCGAUGCAGACACCGUCGCUCAACAACAAUUACUAUUAUGUAGUUUUCGUGGAUGAUUAUAGCCGGAUGACUUGGGUGUAUUUUAUCAAAAAUAAAUCCGAAGCUUUUAAUGUUUUUCAGAAAUUUAAAAAUUUGAUUUAGAAUGAAUCUUGUUAUUAUAUUAGGACCCUCCGUACAUAUUAAGAGGGAGAAUUUAUUUCUAACAAGUUUGAAAAUUUUUGUAAAGAAGGUACUCACAGGCAGUUGACAACCAGUUACACGCCUUAGCAGAAUGGUAUUGCAGAGCGCAAAAAUCGAAGUUUAGUCGAGAUGGCAAAAAGUAUGUUGAAAGCGAAAAAUCUCCCAAACAAAUUUUGGGCAGAAACGGUAUCUACCGCAGCAUAUAUUCUCAAUAGAAGUCCAACUUUAGCGCUGGAGAAUAUUACACCUUAUGAAGCAUAGACCGGCUGGAAACCGAAGGUAAAACAUUUUUAAAUUUUUGGAUCGGUUUCUUUUAUUCAUAUUCCAUCACAAAAUAGGCAAAAAUUGAAUGAUAAUAGUCAGAAGUGUAUUUUUAUUGGAUAUAGCGAAAGAAGUAAAGCCUAUCGAUUUUAUAAUUCUGUUACUAACUCUUUAAUUAUAAAUCGUGAUGAUAUAUUUUGAUGAACAAAAAGCUUGGGAUUGGAGCGCAAAAGUGCAGAAUAAUCCACUUCUGAUACUUGAAAAUGAAACUGCAACUAAAAAAAAAAACAAUGGUGAAAGUACGAUACGUACGGAAACAACACCACAAGCUUCACCGCGAAUUUCACCAGAAACUUCUCGAGAGACAACGCCAAGAAAAGUAAGAUCACUUAGUGAAAUAUACGAGCAGUGCAUGUACUCACAAUGUGGAGAAUCACAAAACUUUGAAAAGACGACAAAGCCUAAUGAUUGGUAUAAGGCGACGAAUAAAGAAAAUGCGGCGUUAAGGAAAAAUAAUAUCUACGAGUUUGUUGAAUCGCCUAUAGAUAAAGAAGUUGUUGGAUUUAAGUGGAUAUAUAAGGCGAAAAGGAUAUUGAGAUAUUUGAAAAGAAAAGGAGACCUCCGGUUGUGGUAUAUUAACCCUAACGAUUUUUAUUUUGGUUGUUUUAAUAGUGAUUGGACAGGUUUAGUUGAUGAUCAAAAAAGUACGAGAAGGGUUCGAGUUGAUACACUACGCAACCAAGGAGCCGAUGGCCGAUAUUUUCAUAAAGUCGCUAACAUUGGAGAAAUUCAUAUUUUGCCGAGAGAAGAUCGGUGUGAAGAACAUUAGCAUUAUAGGGGAGUGUUAAAGAUAAUGUUAAUGAGAUUAGAAUUAGAUUAUUUGAUAUUAUCCAUUAUUCGGUUAUGAUUAAGGUAUAUUCGGUUAUUAUUAAGAUGAAAUCGAAUCAGAGUAGGAUUCUAUGUAAUUAGUUAUAAAUAGAUAGAUCGGGAUUAUUUAGUUAAUGAACCCGGGAGUCACCAUAAUUAAUUAGUGCUUGCCGAAGGUUGUAUAUGGUGAACAGUUAUUUUCUUCAAUAAAGUUAUUUUUAGGUUGCUUUCAUGACAAUGUACUAGAUUCUUUGAUUUGUCUUCUUCCGAUCUCUUGCCUUUUUUAUUUUACUUUUUGUGGGGAUCAUUAUAUAUCAUAAUAAGUAUAUAGAACAUAUUUGUUGGAGGCCCACCGCCGUAAGAAAAAUGCACCAACAGAAAUUCGAACCCUCAGGAUUUGAGUUGUGAUAAGGCCAUUUGAAAAAAUAUCCCUCAGGGUAGAUCUUGUUCUUGGAGCCAUGAAUUGCAAGCUCUCUAUAAGCUUUUGCAGCAACCAAUCCAGGAUGUGACCUAAGCCAUGUUCUCUUCCUAAUCUGGCCCAUCCAUGAAGUGACUGCCACUACUGGAUUGAAGCUAUUCCAGAUGCACUGAAAGUGACACCCCAGUACUUGGACCCCAAACUUUCUUGCUUUUGAUUUUUUUUUUUUUUUUUUUUUUUUUACUAUUGCUUAUUUGAUAAAACGUGAUCGCUCGAUCUGAUUAAUUAAAUUAGUUUUUUUUUAUAAAUCCGAGCUUCUUCCCUCUUAUAUGUAAAGGCAACUUGCAUUUUAUAUCCCUGCCUCCUUGAGCCGAGCUCGGGAGCAAGCUGAGCCCAGAUUGAGUUCGGUUAUUGUUUAGCCAAACAAGCUUUAGGCUGCGUUUGAUUAAAGAACUAAAUUUUGGAGAAUAACUUUUGUUGUUUUUUAGAACAGGAGAUAUUUCGGUACAAGAUAGAAUAAUUGUAAAUUUGUGUUUGGAUGCAUUUGGGAAUAUUCAAGAGGAUAUCUUUAGUAGAGUUUGGAUAAAAAGUCUAGAACAAUGCCUAAAUAUAUUUUUAAAACUAAAAUAAUUAAUUUAUAUUAGUAUAUUUUAUAUAAAUUAUUUAUAAAAUUAUUUCAUAUUGUAAUAUAUAAUAUAAUUAUUUAUGUAACGGUUUAAUUUAAAAUAGCAUAUUUAUUUUAUUAUAUAUAAUAAUUUAUUUUAUGUAAUAAUUUAUUAUAUAUAAAUUAUUCAUAAUAUAUGUAAUGAAUAAAGUAUAAUACUAACAAUAUCCUAAUAAUACUGAUCGUCCCUAGAGCAAGUGGCAAAGGGCUUGGUGGUUGGUAUUCGAGACCCAAGUUCGAAUCCUAGUUGAUUCACAUUUCUAGCUAAGUUUAUUUCUAAAUGAAAUAAACGAAACGGGUAGCGUGCUACCUAUCUCUCAAAAANNNNNNNNNNNNNNNNNNNNNNNNNNNNNNNNNNNNNNNNNNNNNNNNNNNNNNNNNNNNNNNNNNNNNNNNNNNNNNNNNNNNNNNNNNNNNNNNNNNNNNNNNNNNNNNNNNNNNNNNNNNNNNNNNNNNNNNNNNNNNNNNNNNNNNNNNNNNNNNNNNNNNNNNNNNNNNNNNNNNNNNNNNNNNNNNNNNNNNNNNNNNNNNNNNNNNNNNNNNNNNNNNNNNNNNNNNNNNNNNNNNNNNNNNNNNNNNNNNNNNNNNNNNNNNNNNNNNNNNNNNNNNNNNNNNNNNNNNNNNNNNNNNNNNNNNNNNNNNNNNNNNNNNNNNNNNNNNNNNNNNNNNNNNNNNNNNNNNNNNUAUAUAUAUAAUAUUUAAUAUAAAAAAUAAAUAAAUAUUAAUAUAUAAAUAAUAAAACUUAAUAAAAUAAAUAAUAUAUUAAAUUUAAUUAAUUUAUAUUAUAUAAUAAAAUUUAAGUAUAAAUAUAUUAUCAUAAAAAUACUAUUUAUAUUAAUAUAUUUAUUUAUUUAUCUAAUAAAAUAAAAAGAGUAAUAAAGUUGUUCUGAGUUUUUCUAGGAAUAAAUUUUUAACGAAUUGUUUCAAAACAACCCAUUUUGAAUUGGACAACCCGUUCCAAGUUCCGCUGGCAUUUGGUACAAAUUGGAGGAUAUUUUUCUUUGUUUCGGGAUAUCAUGCGUGCCAAAGGCAGCUUUAGAGCUCAGGAUUCUAUGCAACACUUUUGACACCCUUAAUGUGGCACCACUCUUCUUUCAGAAUCUCAGAAAUUAAUGACGUACCGGUUAUAAUGAUCACUUCUCAGAUGCUUUGGAUGUUGUCACUUAAUUUUCAAACUUUUAAUUUUAGAAUCUAAAUUGUUGUAUAAACUAUUUCUAGCAUAAGUGACUAAAGGCUUGUUGAUUAGUACCUGUGAUUUCAAAUUCGAAAACUAAUUAUUUUACAUUUCUGAAAUGGAUGAAGCAAGUAGAAUGCUACCUAUGUUUCUCAAAAAAAAAAAAAAAACUUUUGCAUGUUUUGCAAACUCAUCCCUAACCUUCAGUAUAAAUCUACUGCUUCGAAAAAGAACAUCUUUUUUUUUUUCUUCUUUUUUUUCUUUUUUUUUGUAAAAUAACUUCCUUCUUGAACUUUGAUUGAAAUGGGGCUAAAAAAAUUAUUUGAUGAAAAUAUUCAACUAGCUUCAAUUUUUCUUAAUUUCUUGUUAUGAUUUUUUUCUUUGAGAAAAAGAUAGUUAUAAGCUGUUUGUUUGAUUAAAUUUUUUAAAAAUAAACUUAACUAAAAAUGUGAUACAAUUAGAUUUCAAAAAUUGAAACCUUGAAUAUGAACUAUAAAAUCAUUAGUAAAUUGCACAUGGCAUGGUUGAUAAUUUUUUAUAAGGGUCAAUUUCAUUUGUGCCCCUCUAAACUUCUAAAAUUUUUUACAAAAGUAUUUUAGCAUGAUAUAUUUAUUUUAAAAUAUUAAAAUAAACAGUAAAAUAUAUAUCAUUUUACUGCCGUGUGGUUUAUAAAAUAAGAUGCUAAAAUGAGAUACUUUAUAUCAUUUAUUUUAAAAUUCGAGAUGCCAAAGCACAGAAAUUUGUGCUAGUUCAAAUAACUUAAUUUACAUCAUGCAUAUAUAUUUAAGUUAUAGUUUGAAUAAAUUGUUUAACCUUACUUUAAGGAGUCAAUUGAUAUUUAAUGUAGGUUAUUUAUAAAUUUAAAAGAGUGUUUAUAAAAGUAUAAAUGAUUUUAUAGUCAAUUAAAUAUUUUAAGAUGGUAAUGACAAUAAGGGCAAAUUUGGAAUUUUGUUUGUUGUUUAUUCAAAAUUGAUAAUAAAUUAGUAUAAAGGUUAUUUUGAAAGUUUCUCUCUUUUAAUAGGUUAUUUAUGAUAUUUCAAUUUUUAUAGGGGCAUUCAUGAUAUUAAACUUAUUUGGAAGGGUAGUGAUGAAAUUUUCCCUUUUUAUAAUGUUCGGUGUUAGAAUUACUGUAUAUGGGAAAGUUCAACUGAGAAAUGGGGACUGAAGAUUUUCUCUUUAGUGCUCAGCUAUCUAAUAGAUAACAUUAUUUGUUAACCUUAAUUGCACGUAUUUUUGCAUGACAGUUUCUAAUUUUUUAAUUUUUUGCAUAUAAAUGUUGGAAAUUUGAUGCUCGCCCUAAUACUGAAAUUUGAGAAUCCACAACUCGCCUUGAUAACUAUUGCUGUUGACCCGAUACUCGAUCCAGUACCGAUUGUUGAGAUUCUGCAACGAAAACGUCAAAUCGAAUUUUUACCCUAAAUUGCAGUCACAAAAGAGAAAAAAAAUAAAUAGAAAAAGCGGAUGAAAUAAGAUUCAUUAAUCAAAAGAAGAAUUACAUAUGACUUCUUUUCUAUACAGAGUUGCUUUAACCCGAGCUCUCUUUCUAAAUUUCUCCCACCCUUCUCUCGUUUUCUAUAAAUCCAAGUAUGCAUCCAUGCACAAUGUACACCAACACUACAACAGAAUUAGAUUAUAGGGACACAUGUUUGGGACACUUUUGUCUAAGUGUCCCAUUUAUGUCAAAAUUUUAAAAUACAUCUACUAAUGCCUAAAUAUAAAGCCGAAUCCAACAAAAAAUAUGAUGUUACUAUACUCAACCCACCCAACCCAGCCCAUUUGGCCCGAUUCCAAAUAGAAAAAAAGAAAAAGAAAAAUCGAUUACCAUCUCCCCUUCUCUCCUCACUCAAUCCACUGAAAUUCUAGACGAAGGGCCCUUCCCUGUCGUCCUCCUCCGCCACCGCAGCCAACGAGGUAGAGUCCCGGCUAUUGCUAGAUGCUUAAAUAAGUGUUGCUAAAUUAGCAGCACUUUUUUAGGUUAUAGCGACACUCUUUAACUGUCACUAUAUACCUAGCGACCCCACAUAUAGCAACAAUUUUUAAAAGUGUCGGUAAUUUAGCCAGCAGCACUUUUUUUGACCUAUACCGACAUUUAAAAGUGUCGCUAUAGAUCGUUUUUGUUGUAGUGCAAUGACACAUGGCCACAAAAGCCGCACAUGUUCUCUUGCACCCAUAUACUUGGUGAAUUCAAAAUUGUGACCACAGAGGCCAUGCCAUAUGGGUAAGGCUAAGCUGCACCACAGCCACAAAAAAAAAUAGCAUAAACAAAUUCUAAUCCAAUUAGAUUCCUACUCUAAUUAAUAUUUAAAUCUUAAAUAAUUUAUCUCCAACAUAUUUAAAUAUUUAUCAUAAUCUAACAUUCAACUACAAAUAUAACCAAAAUCCUAAUAAUCUCCUCCUUGAUUUGAUUUGUAGUCUUUAGCUGUUGCGUCGAGCUCAUAAUUCAACUCUACCUUGAGCUUAUCUACUCCACUCGAUAUCGCCACAUUCGUCGCUCCAUCUUUUGUGACUGCGCCUCCAUGAACUUUUAGUAUCCAAAUUGGCUUUGCUCUCAUUCUGACCAUGCUUCCAUUUAGAAUGUACAAGUUUUCGUGUUUGUUCACCUCGCACACGGCCUAAUCUUGCUUUCGGACCCUCAUAACCCCACAUGAAGCUAAAAUAUUGCAAUCCUUUGAGCCCAAUGCAUCCAAAAGAUCAAAUUGUGCUUUAAACAUCGAUCACUCCAAAGGAUCGGUACCAUGCUCUAACAUCGAUCUUCUACAAGGAUCGAUAAGCCAGUGCUUUGACGUCAAUCUCUCUUGAGAUCGGCAACCCAAUGCUUUGACGUCAAUCUCUCCAGUGGAUUGAAAAAACCUUAAACUUCGAUACUGCAUGCCCCGGAUUACACGUUCCCCAGGCACGCCGACAAAUCCGCCGUACACAAAGGAAUUUUUCCUAUAUACGAAGCGUAGCUGUAACUGUAACAAAUACAAUAUUACAACCAGUAGUAUAGAGCUGCUCGAAUAAAACUGGUAUAAACAGGAACAAGUUCCAUAUAUAGACAUACAUCCAGGUAUACAAAAAAAGCUCGCCCAGCGAGAUACAACCAGUAUGUAUAAGAAACUCAAAAACUGACACUACCUGCAGCUGGUAACCUCUCGAACAGCAGCAACUCGGAAGGGCUCUAACUGGCAACGCCCUUGCCACGAUCAGUCUUUGAGGAAACAGCAGCCGAAACAGCAGGCUCUGCAAAAAUAGGGUAACAACUGGGCGUGAGAACUACUGUAAAAAUAAGUAGUCCUCAGUGGGUACCGCCCUCAAUAUCGUCGGUCCACCCACCAAGUCUACAGAAGGAAGCAAAGAUAGUAGGAAAAACUGGAAGGAAUCUACAGCUAAAUGCCACUACACUAUCCUGUUCUACACUAACUAACUGUAAUAAAAGUCAAUCCUGACCCAAUCUCACCAGGAACUGUAAGCAUACCCGUCCCUGGGACUGUGAACACACCUGUCCUGCCCAGUUGUGACUAUACAGCUACCUCCACGCUAAGCAGUCACUGGAGAGCGAGUCCAACCUGCACUAACGACACCAACGCAAAAGCACAGCGCGCGCCUCCGGAGUGGCACUCGUGGGAGCUACCCAACCGAGUAUGCAAGCGUAUCUCUGUCGAGCUAAAUAAGACUCUCACAAGCCAAAGUCAAGUAAAUCAAAUCCAACUGGUCUAACAACCAACAGGUCACGUGCCCUCGGCACAAUCUGACGCCAAAACGGCGAUAUGGGUUCACCGUCAACCCUAACGGCACCCAACAGUUCGGAACAGUCUGAGCGCUACUGUAAAAAUACAUUCGGCAUCUCAGCAUGAGCGUAACUGAAAUCUAAACUAUCUGGGGUAUCCACCACACCGAUAUUGCGGCGAUACAAAAUAACAACGGCUCUUAGAGCUAAAUCAGGUAGUUUAAACAUAUGACAGGUCAUAAUCGCAGUUUUCUCCUAAGUCAUAUCCAAGUCCAACAUGUGCAAGUUGAUAGUCACAGUAUUAAGCUCAAAUUCAGAUUCUACAUGUAAAUAUGCCAAAACUCAUGAACCGAGCAAUCUCUAUCAACGAAUCAACACAACAACACAUGCCGACAAUCUAUAUACUUAGAAGAUAAACCGACGAUUAACCCACCUCAAACGCUAACUCCAAAUCCGGUGCGACGUCAAGAACGGCGGAAAUCCACGCUCGCCCGGCCUCCCAACGCAGCCACCACGAUGCUCGCGUGCUCGAACGGCUCCGCGGCGCGACGUCGGCGUCGAUCCGAGCUCCAACGGCAACUCUACCUGAGCUCCACCUCAACCGGACCAAGCUAGAGAGAGAGAGGGAGUGAACCAGGCAAAAUCUCCUCUCAACUCUCCCUCACACCUGUAUAUAGUAGUGGAGAGGUGGGUGAAACAAACGAGGUGAGAAAAGACACAUUUGCCCUCUUACCUACCCUGGUGUACCGGUACACGCAAGGUUGUACCGGUACAAAUGGUAACCCGAGAGCAGCUGCGCAUGAUCUGACAAAGUGUACCGGUACGCCCUGAUGGUUAUAUCGAUACAGAAAGUGUACCUGUACGCCUUGAUGGUUGUACCGGUACAACAAGCAGAGAAUCUACAAUUUGCAGAGUCCAAUGCUAAGUCCUGCUCUUGCGUCCCCGCUAAGUCCGUUUUGUAUCUAUUUCGCGCCAACGCGACUCAGACUUGUCCCGACACUCUCCAAAGCUGUCGAUAAGCCUCUCCUGCUGAACAUNUUUGCGUCUAUUUCGCGCCAACGUAACUCGGACUUGUCCCGACACUUUCCAACGCUGCCGACAAGCCUGCACUGCUGAACUCCAGGGAUACCACAGAUACCAAUUGUCGGGAAUCUAGCAAUCGCCUUGAUACUAUAUUUUUGAGAAUCUGUAACUCGCUUUGAUACCUAUUGCUGUUGACUCAGGACGUGCUUCCGUACCAAUUGUUGGAAUUCCACAACAGAAGAAUCAAAUUAGGUUUUACCAUAAACUACAAUCAUAAAAGAAAAAAUAAAUAAACAGAAAAUAUAGGUGAAAUAAGAUUCAUUAAUUAAAAAAAAAAGAAUUAUAUCUUACUUCUCUACACAGAGUAGCUUUAACCCAAUUCAUCUUUUUAAAUCUCUUUUACUCUUCUCUCGUUUUUUAUAAAUCCAGAUGACCUCUCUCUUAUCUUGUGCACCCAUGUACAAGGUAUAUGACUGACACAUGGUCACGAAAAUCGCAUACAUCCUCUUGCGUCAAUACACUAGGUGCAUCCAAAAUUAUAACCAUCUUGGCCAUGCCAUAUGCGUGUGGCUAACGGGAAUGGCUUGGGUCCAAGGUGCUAUUGAAGGAGAAAGAGAGAAAGAGACUUGUAGAGGGUCUUUGGACAAGCUACAGCGGCUGGGACUGGUCACCGGAGGUUGAGGGUGUGCCAACGGGGGUAUGGAAGGAGAUGUUGGCAGUUGGGUGGGUAAGGAAGGAGGAGAGAGGGAUUAGGGCUAAUCAAACCCUAAAUGCAUUAUAUGUAGUUUUUGCAAAAUUAUGCAUAACUCCCUAUAUCUUCAAAUUUUCAACUUCAGCCCCUGGCUGUACAUGUAAUAUGCGUGGUAGCACCUCCCCUUACAAUUUUGCGUGAUUCAGUACAUAAAAAAUACCACGCCUUAAAAAAAAUCUAUUUUUCAAAUUUGGCAACUUGUCUUUUUCGCUUUAUUUCAUACUUUUGCCUUGAAGAAUUAAUGCGAAAACGUACCUCAUCAUGACUUCUGGCACUGUCAGAUCAUGAAAAUAGUGAUUUCGUUUUGCUGGAAAACAUUUUGAUUCGCGACAACAGCCUUCUCUCUCAAUUCAUUAAGUUUGAAUUAAAAGAAACUCAAUUAUUUAUUAUUGAAUUCCAAUUUUUAUACAAUUUCUACGCUCUAACCAUUUAAUUGUUGUAAUUAGGUCAAAGAACAUUUGACUGAGUUUAAGUUAAGUUUUUAACCUUUGUUAGUCAGUUUAAUCAUAUUCUUUUCAUCAAAACAUCUGCUACUCAGGAAAAAAUGUGUCAAACCACCUUUAAUUUUCAAAGCCGUAACUUGGUGGAUUAGGACGAGAAAAUAAUUAAAAUCAAAUUUGAUCAUCAGUAUAUUAAACUCAAAUUCAAUCCGAUAAAUGUGAUUUUCAAUAUUGAAAGUGAUUAUACAUUAAAAAUUAGGUAAUUUAAAUAUCUAUUAUGUAGGUAUUAAGUAGAUCGGUAGAGUUGUAAGAAAUUAGUAUUUUAUCUGUGUUAUAUUAUUGCUAAGAUGGCAAAUUUCAUCCACUUAAUUUAAUGGAUACUCUGACGAAAAUAACCCAAUUAAAAUAAUAAGAAGAGAUUAACACUUAAUAACACCAAUUAUUAGAUUAAUGACCCGUGAAACCACUAGAAUUUAGAAUAAUCCUACAUAUCAGAUAUAAAAGGGCUAAAUCUCUUAAUCUAGUCACUACAACAAAAACGGUCUAUAGCGACACUUUUAAAUAUAGGUACAUGUCUAAAAAGUGCUGCUAGCUAAAAUUACCGACACUUUUAAAAAGUGUUGCUAUAUGUGGAGUCGCUAGGUAUAUAGUGACAGUUAAAGAGUGUCACUAUAACCUAAAAAAGUGCUGCUAAUUUACCAAUAACUUAUUUAAGCAUUUAGCAACCGCCGAAACUCUAUCUCGUUGACUGCGGUGGCGGAGGAGGACGACAGGAAUGGCUCUUCGUCUAGAAUUUUAGUGGAUUGAGUGAAGAGAGAAGAAAAUAUGGUAAUUGAUUUUUCUUUCUUUUUUUUUCUUUUCUGUUUGUAAUCUGGCCAAAUGGACUGGGUGUGGUGGGUUGAGUAGAGUAAUCUUUUAUUUUUGGUUGAAUUGGGCUUUAUAUUUAGGCAUUAGUAGAUGUUUUUUUAAGUUUUAGCAUAAAUGGGACACUUACUCAAAAGUGUCCCAAACAUGUGUCCCUAUAACCUAAUUCUGCUGUAGUGUGGUUAUAGAAUUUUGAGCAAUGGUUAGAAACAAGAGGUUAAGAGGGUCAAGCGUAUUAGAGUUAGAGUAGUUUUAGAAUAGAUGACCCUCUGGAACGCGAAGCGUCAUAGUUGAUAAAAGUAAGGCAUUAUAGUUGGUAUUAGAGCCAAUACUAGUCUAAAAUGUGAGAUGAGUUUUGGCUAAGUCAGGUUAUAUAGCAGGGCAAAGCGCCGCUUCGCGGCUAAUGAACAUUGAGGGUAGAGUACGGCUGCCACAAGGUCGGCUAGAGACUAGCGAGACGAGCUAGGAAUAAGAGUAAUCCGAAAAUG